This 253-nucleotide ribosomal RNA is filed under the name uncultured bacterium. Its description in RNAcentral is "partial 16S ribosomal RNA". It matches the Rfam family "Bacterial small subunit ribosomal RNA", at positions 524 to 776 of the family's 1533-position model. The record is from RNAcentral.
UACGUAGGGACCGAGCGUUGUCCGGAAUCAUUGGGCGUAAAGAGCGUGUAGGCGGCCACUUAAGUCCUGCGUGAAAUCUUGCGGCUCAACCGCAAGCGGUCGUGGGAAACUGGGUGGCUAGAGUGCUGGAGAGGAGACUGGAAUUUACGGUGUAGCAGUGAAAUGCGUAGAUAUCGUAAGGAAGACCAGUGGCGAAGGCGAGUCUCUGGACAGCAACUGACGCUGAGGCACGAAGGCCAGGGGAGCAAACGGG